This is a long non-coding RNA of Passer domesticus (house sparrow), 2186 nucleotides long. RefSeq lists it as uncharacterized. The transcript has 3 exons. The record is from RefSeq and is a predicted model, not a curated record. NCBI's taxonomy places the organism in Eukaryota, Metazoa, Chordata, Aves, Passeriformes, Passeridae.
GUCCCCUGUGGCUGGCUAAGGGAGCGGCAAUGGGAGCACCGAAUGGAUGCGCUGCCUCCUCCUUCGAGGAUUCCUCUGACCUGAGUAAUCCUCCCGUUUCUUUAAAAAGGCUGUUUUGUACAGGAGGAAAGCUGGCAUAACCCCGAGGGAGCUGCUGGCUUCCCCUGAGAAACACCACGGCUUGUGGAAAGAGGAGAAAAGAAUCCUUGUUCUGGUGAAUACCUGAGCAGGAGCGCACGCUCGCCGGUGUUCGAAGCGGUGCUGGGAUGGUGCGAUAUAAUCUUGUCUCUGUGAGCAGGAUUCUUAAAUGGGACUUGGAGAACAUCACCAAACACGGUGAUGGCCACGACAACGCCACUGGGCUUGGCAGUGCAGAAUAUCUCUGUGGAGUAGGAAAGUCCAUCUAGGCCCAGCCUAAGGGAGUCUGGAGCCUUCUGAUUACAGGUGCUGGAUUUAACAGCAUCACCCCCACACACACAGACACCCUUGUGCCUUGUUCAAAAUCAGUUAUUAGCACACCCAGGCUUAGGAGCAUCCAGUUCCACACAGGUGUGAGGUUACUGAACAUAUGAAGGCAUCUUACAGAAAUUCAAGUUAUCACAGGCAUUUUAUGCCUGUUUCCUCAGUAACCUUAAAUGAGAAUGCAGCAAGAUCAGAAGCUGAGCUGCACACUUGGUCUCACAUAGGAAAGUGUUGCUUGGUACAUAUAAUUAAAUAAAUCUGUUUUGCUGACACUCCCUCCCCCACCCUUCCCUCAGCUAUUUUUAUGCUUGGCUUAGUGGAAAAGACUUGGUGCCUCUGGGUGUGAAGCAUGAAGCCAUUCAAAAUGAAGCUGUCCCCUGAAGAAGACAAUCCUGAGAAGGAAUAAUGCUGGCCUCUCAGGGAGCAUGAAAGCAGCAGAGGAAUGCAGGGGAGAGGAGGUGGCUGGGCUUGGCCUGCAGCACCGAGAAGUCUUUUCCAUUUGCAGCUUUCUCCUCCUGCAGUCAGAGCUGUUUAAUGGGAUCACGAGGGCUGCUGUGCCAUUACUUAGGGAAGAGGGUAUAAAAACGACAGCAGCUAAUAAGCACCCAUUUCUCAUCAGUGGCCUCAUAAGGCUAAUUGCACAAACAGAACGUUUGGGAGGCCAACGGGCUGGAAAUGACAUUCUGUUUGCUGGAUCCAGACCAGCACACAGAGACUGCCUCCCUGCGCCUGGACACAAACAAAGACAGGGCUAUCCCUAAGUGUGUGCCCACAGGAGGACACAGACUUCAGAAACUGAGCUGGAAUGCUGAAGACACAGCACAGCCAUUCUUCCUGAUGAUCAGGAGGCAAGGGGAGCAGAAACAUUGAAUGUUCCUUUGUCCAUAAAUGUCCAGACCACAUUCCUGGUUCUGAAGUUCCCUCACAGAAAGGAAGGCUUUGUCUGGAGCUCACGACUGAGGACUGGAAGAAAGACUGAAAAAAAUACCUGAAAAAAAAAAAAAAAACUAAAAAAAAACCCCAAUCCAAGCUUGGUGGACCAGGGUGGAAACACACCUUGAGCUGAGGCCUCUGUCAAGAGGAGGCAUUGAUGCUUCCCAGAGAAGAGGCUGGCUGAUGGGAAGGGCAGACACUGGACAGAGCUGUGUGUGGCCCCAGAGCAGCAUAAAGGCAGGGAGUGUGUGUUUAUGUGUGUAGGAAGGGAGCUGCUGGUGGUGGGAGUGCAGCCCCUGCACGUGAAUUGUAGAUGUCAAAGCUGAAAAAGUGCUUGUUGGCCUGUUCACUUCCCCUUCUUUUGGCUGCUGAAGAUUUGAGAAGUUGAAUCUUCCACUCAUGGCACCAAAGGAUCUAAUGCUGUGUAUUUGCUCUAGUAACAUCAGUCACUAAUUAGAUAAUUCUGACCAAAAAAAAAAUACUUGACAAGAUUGGUUCUUUCAAACAUCCAGGUUCAUUUUGCUCUUAGUAUCACUAUCCAGGUUUAUUUUAAACCAAUAUUUAAGUUUUCUUCUCACUCUGAUCUAUAGUUAGGCUUGUUAGGAAGUGUCUGUGCUGUUUUUUCUAUUUUUAAAAUAUGGGCCCACGUUUGAUGGGUUUUUGCUUGAGAUUCUCUGGUGCACUGCUGGUAAAAUUAACUCAUAACCAGUUCUCAAGGCUAUUGGAAAGCUAUGACCACAUUAGAAUACAUCCUGUUCUAAAUGAUUUGGAUAUCCUAGACUUUUUUUUUU